Molecule: unclassified non-coding RNA, 90 nt
Filed under: Pseudomonas granadensis
Lineage: Bacteria; Pseudomonadati; Pseudomonadota; Gammaproteobacteria; Pseudomonadales; Pseudomonadaceae
Source: RNAcentral
UGUAGGAGUGAGCCUGCUCGCGAUAGCGGUGGGUCAUUCAGCGACGAUGUUGGCUGAUCCACCGCUAUCGCGAGCAGGCUCACUCCUACA